CCCUAGCCUUGAUGGGAACGGCAUCUCCUGAUUUAGUAAAACAAGGCUUUUUUGCCGUAGUUUUUGUUAAUCGGGAAUAUAGUGGACAGCAAGACACGAG
Molecule: small RNA, 100 nt
Filed under: Flavobacterium aquicola
Lineage: Bacteria; Pseudomonadati; Bacteroidota; Flavobacteriia; Flavobacteriales; Flavobacteriaceae
Description: Flavo-1 RNA
Rfam family: Flavo-1 RNA
Source: RNAcentral